RNAcentral lists this unclassified non-coding RNA (1406 nucleotides) under Manduca sexta (tobacco hornworm). Its description in RNAcentral is "peptidoglycan-recognition protein SB2, transcript variant X3". The record is from RNAcentral. Lineage: Eukaryota; Metazoa; Arthropoda; Insecta; Lepidoptera; Sphingidae.
ACUAUUUGUAAAGCCGAUAUCUACGGCGGUAGUGUUCGGUGUCCUGCUAGUGCGUGAUAUCUCAUGUGGAAUAAUAGACUGAGUCCAUCCCACUAUCAUGAUCAUGAAUCUCGUCAAAAUUCGUAUCGGGCAAGUGAUGACCGUGAUCGCAGACUGUCAGAAGAGACACCCCUGCUUCAUAGAUUCCCGCAGACUAAUCCGGCACCAAGAAGCACGUCUACCACGAUAAUAGUAAGCUUACUGCUUAUAAUAUUGACGUCAGGCGUUGUUAUUGGCGUGUAUCUGCUCAUUCUACAGAACAAUGCUGAGAAUGUCUUACCUCCUGUGGAGAUUCCGUUACAAUUAGUCAGCAGGAGGCAGUGGGCCAAUAACAGUAAAAGCGCGCAGCUCCUGCAGUCUUCACCUGUCUUUAAGGCUACAUCAGUAAUUGUAGUGCAAACUGACACAAGACAGUGUUUCAAUACGAGAGCAUGCGUGGAACUGUUACAAAACAUGGAGAUGACUGCUUUGACAAAUGGUAUGAAGUAUUUGCCGUAUAAUUUUCUAGUCUCUUCGAAUGGUCAGACAUACGAGGCGCUGGGGUGGCACGGAACAUCUUCAAUGUUCCCAGAAUACUCAAAAUCGGCAUUAAUUUUAGGUUUUAUAGGUAAUUACACUGAGACUCCACCGACGCGCGGGCAGAUUGACGAGGCUAUAAACUUAUUCUCUGAAUCUGUAAGCCAUCAAUAUUUACAUCCGCACUAUGUGAUCAUAGGGAAAAAAACAAAGACAACUCCGAAACAGCUCUUCGCGAGCCUUAUGGAUCUGCCACAGUGGAGCACCGAAUUGUCUGAUAUGUAAUGCCUACUGUCAACCGGGGUGAAUAGGAAUGGAGGAGUAUAUACGGACUUAAAUGGUUUAUAGCGGUAGGAAUACACCCCGCAAUGUACAAGAUAACAACUUCGUCGCGGAUCCGAGUGUUAUUUACCAUAAGGUAUUUAUUUUAGAUACCAAAUAUUGAUAUAGGUGUAGUAUUUUUGUUUUUGAUAUCAAUAAAAAUAACAAUAAACAAACGGUAUACAGGGUAUGAGAAGAAUGUGAGCCCAAAAAAAUUUGUUAAUUUAAAUAACUUCAAAUUAUAGUGAAAAGUUAUCAAUGGUUGUAAAGCCAAAAAAAAUAUAUUAUUAUCACGAUGUUGCUCUUAUAGUAAAAUAUUACUGUUUUGCCGAGAAAGCUUGAUUUUCACAAGUCCACCAAAAAUAAUAUUUCAUUUUCGGUUUUGAAUAUGUUGAUCAUGAACAACAAAAUAUACACAAUAAAAUCAAUUAAGAAGAAGAUUUUGUUUUGUUUUAUUGUUUUUGUGCAUAUAUGAUUAUAAUUAGUAAUAAGUACGUAACCAAUUUCGAAUAUAAUAUAGUCAAUAAAAA